GCCCUCUCGCCGGCCGACUCGGCCUGCCCCCCGCGCCCAGCCUCGAGCGCGCUACGGCCCGGGCGCCUCCCGGGUCGCAGAACCCGCCGCGCCCCCCUGCCCCGCAGGUCGGCUUCCUCUCCUGGAGGUGCGUCGACUGCGGGGGACUCGGUUUCCCCGCCGCUCCCUGUAGGUGGGCAUGGGCAACCCAAGUGACCUCGGCUGCAAAAGUUACCUAUGACUCCUCACAUUCUGUGUUUAAUUAUUUACCAAGACCUGAUGAAAAUCCCGUGAUUUUUCUGCUCAGUCCUCUGCCACGGUUUGAGUAUUUCCCACAGAAACCUGCUCCUUCAGCCAUGGUCAAAGUUGUGAAAAGUGGAUCUUCGAUGGCCGUCUCUAACUUCACACUCAAGCAUGUCACGUAAGAAGAGUAUGGAAUACUUGGAAGCAUCAUUCAUUGAAACCAUGUUGCACUGUGGCUGCCUCCUCUUCUUCAUCCUCGCGUGUGUGUGUGUGUGUGUGUGUGUGUGUGUGUGUGUGUGUGUGUGUACUAAGGAUCAAAAAACUCUACCCCUCAACUACAUCUCCAGCUAUUGGCUCUUUCUAAGACAAGUCUCAAUAAAGUAUGUAGCCCAGGUUGCCCUCAAACUUGUGUUAUUACUCUAUCCCUGAAGCCAUAUCUCCUUGAUUUCCUAGUGAGUGCUGUCUUAACCUUUUCAUUCCAUGUUAAGUGACUAAGGCUUCAAUAGCAUCAAAUUGAAGUUGUCACUAAACUCUAAGAGUCCAAAGGGAGGCUGAAAUUUCAUCCUUGGCAGAUUUAUCUAUCUUGGC
This 810-nucleotide long non-coding RNA is filed under the name Cricetulus griseus (Chinese hamster). RNAcentral's name for it is "lncRNA (ENSCGRG00015040552.1)". Lineage: Eukaryota; Metazoa; Chordata; Mammalia; Rodentia; Cricetidae. The record is from RNAcentral.